This 416-nucleotide long non-coding RNA is filed under the name Gossypium raimondii (Peruvian cotton). Its description in RNAcentral is "long non-coding RNA (GRAI_LNC001787)". The record is from RNAcentral. Lineage: Eukaryota; Viridiplantae; Streptophyta; Magnoliopsida; Malvales; Malvaceae.
ACAUGCCAUAGAUUACCAAGUUUUACAAAACUUAGAAGCGAAACCUACCACACAUUCACCAAAACACUUAGAACAUGUCAAGUUCCACACAAUUGAGACAACAAAUUAAAAUUGAAGAGUUUGAACCCACACCUAAUUUGCGAUUAGAGACGUCUAGAACUCGACUCGUAACCAAGAAACUGAAGCUCUCCGAAAACCACAACACAACCAUUUUCAAAAAAAAAAGAAGAAAGAACAAAAAAAGAAAACAAAGAAAGAGGGUGAGGAGAACGUCCAGAAAGAAAGAAAAAAAUAAACACUAAGUAAAGAAAAUAAUUAUCUAAACCUUAAAAAAAAAAUGGUCCCUCAAAACGCUACUAAAGACUCGAACCCAAGACUUAAAGGCACACUAACACACUAUCAACCACCAGACCAGC